This 484-nucleotide ribosomal RNA is filed under the name uncultured bacterium. Its description in RNAcentral is "partial 16S ribosomal RNA". It matches the Rfam family "Bacterial small subunit ribosomal RNA", at positions 30 to 507 of the family's 1533-position model. The record is from RNAcentral.
AUUGAACGCUGGCGGCAGGCCUUACACAUGCAAGUCGAGCGGAUGCAGGGAGCUUGCUCCUGGAUUCAGCGGCGGACGGGUGAGUAAUGCCUAGGAAUCUGCCUGGUAGUGGGGGAUAACGUCCGGAAACGGGCGCUAAUACCGCAUACGUCCUGAGGGAGAAAGUGGGGGACCUUCGGACCUCACGCUAUCAGAUGAGCCUAGGUCGGAUUAGCUAGUUGGUGGGGUAAAGGCCUACCAAGGCGACGAUCCGUAACUGGUCUGAGAGGAUGAUCAGUCACACUGGGACUGAGACACGGUCCAGACUCCUACGGGAGGCAGCAGUGGGGAAUAUUGGACAAUGGGCGCAAGCCUGAUCCAGCCAUGCCGCGUGUGUGAAGAAGGUCUUCGGAUUGUAAAGCACUUUAAGUUGGGAGGAAAGGCAGUAAGUUAAUACCUUGCUGUUUUGACGUUACCGACAGAAUAAGCACCGGCUAACUACGUG